GCGCGAAUUCGCCCUUAGAGUUGAUUAUGGCUCAGGACGAACGCUGGCGGCGUGCCAUAAUACAUGCAAGUCGAACGAACUCUGGUAUUGAUUGGUGCUUGCAUCAUGAUUUACAUUUGAGUGAGUGGCGAACUGGUGAGUAACACGUGGGAAACCUGCCCAGAAGCGGGGGAUAACACCUGGAAACAGAUGCUAAUACCGCAUAACAACUUGGACCGCAUGGUCCGAGUUUGAAAGAUGGCUUCGGCUAUCACUUUUGGAUGGUCCCGCGGCGUAUUAGCUAGAUGGUGGGGUAACGGCUCACCAUGGCAAUGAUACGUAGCCGACCUGAGAGGGUAAUCGGCCACAUUGGGACUGAGACACGGCCCAAACUCCUACGGGAGGCAGCAGUAGGGAAUCUUCCACAAUGGACGAAAGUCUGAUGGAGCAACGCCGCGUGAGUGAAGAAGGGUUUCGGCUCGUAAAACUCCGUUGUUGAAGAAGAACAUAUCUGAGAGUAACUGUUCAGGUAUUGACGGUAUUUAACCAGAAAGCCACGGCUAACUACGUGCCAGCAGCCGCGGUAAUACGUAGGUGGCAAGCGUUGUCCGGAUUUAUUGGGCGUAAAGCGAGCGCGGGCGGUUUUUUAAGUCUGAUGUGAAAGCCUUCGGCUCAACCGAAGAAGUGCAUCGGAAACUGGGAAACUUGAGUGCAGAAGAGGACAGUGGAACUCCAUGUGUAGCGGUGAAAUGCGUAGAUAUAUGGAAGAACACCAGUGGCGAAGGCGGCUGUCUGGUCUGUAACUGACGCUGAGGCUCGAAAGUAUGGGUAGCAAACAGGAUUAGAUACACUGGUAGUCCAUACCGUAAACGAUGAAUGCUAAGUGUUGGAGGGUUUCCGCCCUUCAGUGCUGCAGCUAACGCAUUAAGCAUUCCGCCUGGGGAGUACGGCCGCUAAGGCUGAACUCAAAGAUGAAGAAAGGCGGAUCGUUAACCUGCAG
RNAcentral lists this ribosomal RNA (979 nucleotides) under uncultured bacterium. Its description in RNAcentral is "bacterial SSU rRNA". It matches the Rfam family "Bacterial small subunit ribosomal RNA", at positions 1 to 935 of the family's 1533-position model. The record is from RNAcentral.